UGUUGUGUGAGGAUGGAACGGAGUUAGAACCAUUCCAAGCGAGUUCUUUUGGUAAUUGCUUUUGGUGUACUCUUUCCAUACAUCUGGCAGGGAAUGAAAGCAAACAGAAUUUUCUUCGCUUGGCCUCUGCCCUAAACGGGGUGGUUAUUGCACAAGACUUUAUUGUUAAGAUAUUUGAACAGUGUAUCACGUUUGAUGAUGCUUUGCAAUGGUCGAAAACUGUUUGCAGUACAGAAGACACGUCUGAAACCACAAUUAUGGAGGUUGUUCAUGAAAGUUAUGUUUCUGAAGUUAAGGAAACAUUCAGAAAUUUUAGGGACAGUGGGCUAUUACAGGUGUAUUUGGCCUCCAAUUAUUUAAGAAGACCGAUCAGGCAGUUUUGUUUGCUUCCUGGUGCCGACCAUUAUCGCAGUCG
This 415-nucleotide long non-coding RNA is filed under the name Dendronephthya gigantea. RNAcentral's name for it is "uncharacterized LOC114543718, transcript variant X2". The record is from RNAcentral. Lineage: Eukaryota; Metazoa; Cnidaria; Anthozoa; Malacalcyonacea; Nephtheidae.